RNAcentral lists this ribosomal RNA (460 nucleotides) under uncultured bacterium. RNAcentral's name for it is "partial 16S ribosomal RNA". It matches the Rfam family "Bacterial small subunit ribosomal RNA", at positions 338 to 795 of the family's 1533-position model. The record is from RNAcentral.
CCUACGGGUGGCAGCAGUGAGGAAUAUUGGUCAAUGGACGAGAGUCUGACCCAGCCAAGUCGCGUGAAGGAUGACUGCCCUCUGGGUUGUAAACUUCUUUUAUAUGGGAGUAAGCUGUUUCACGUGUGGGAUAUUGUAUGUACCAUAUGUAUAAGGAUAGGCUAACUCAGUUCCGUCAGCCGCGGUAAUACGGAGCGUCCGAGCGUUAACCGGAUUUGCUGGGUUUAAAGGGAGCGUAGGUGGAUUGUUAAGUCAGUUGUGAAAGGUUGCGGCUCAACCGUAAAAUUGCAGUUGAAACUGGCAAUCUUGAGUACCUUAGAGGUGGGUGGAAUUCGAGGUGUAGCGGUGAAAUGCUUAGAUAUCACGAAGAACUCCGAUGGCGAAGGCAGUUCACUGGACUACAACUGACACUGAGGCUCGAAAGUGUGGGUAUCAAACAGGAUUAGAUACCCCUGUAGUC